UAAAAUACUGGGGCUUGCGGUCAUUAGUUACAUUUCAACCACAGCGAUUCCCCAAUUGAGGCGCAACAGAGUUCACCGCAAAUGCAGGAACACCGGAAAUAAUAACUAAAACAACGAAUGAGAAAUGGUGGAGGCUACUAGAACGAAGAUACAUUUUUUUCCGAAUAAACGUGAACCUGAGCCCUAGGACCAUGCCUCAGGACUACCUGGCCUGAUGACUCCUUGCUGUCCCCAGUCCACCUGGUGGUGGCGCUGCUCCAGUUUCAACUGUUCUGCCUGCAGCUGUGGAACCCUGACCUGUUCACCAGAUGUGCUACCUUGUCCCAGACCUGCUGUUUUCAUCUCUCUCUCUCUCUCUCUCUCUCUCUCUCUCUCUCUCUCACCUGUUGUCUCUCUCAAUUCAAUUCAAGGGCUUUAUAGGCAUGGGAAACAUGUGUUAACAUUGCCAAAGCAAGUGAGGUAGAUAAUAUAUAAAGUGAAAUAAACAAUAAAAAUUAACAGUAAACAUUACACAUACAGAAGUUUCAAAACAAUAAAGACAUUACAAAUGUCAUAUUAUAUAUAUAUACAUUGUUUUAACAAUGUAGAAAUGGUUAAAGGACACAAGAUAAAAUAAAUAAGCAUGAAUAUGGGUUGUAUUUACAAUGGUGUGUGUUCUUCACUGUUCUCUCUCUCGCACCUGUUGUCUCUCUCUCUCUCUCGUCUCUAACUCUGAGUAGUCGGCUAUGAAAAGCCAACUGACAUUUACUCCUGAGGUGCUGACCUGUUGCACCCUCUACCACCACUGUGAUUAUUAUUAUUUGACCCUGCUGGUCAUGCUAUAAACAUUUGAACAUCUUGGCCAUGUACUGUUAUAAUCUCCACCCGGCACAGCCAGAAGAGGACUGGCCACCCCUCGGAGCCUGGUUCCACUCUAGGUUUCUUCUUAGGUUCCUGCCUUUCUAGGAAAUGUUUCCUAGCCACUGUGCUUCUACAUCUACAUUGCAUGCUGUUUGGGGUUUUAGGCUGGGUUUCUGUAUCGCACUUUGUGACAUCAGCUGAUGUAAAAAGGGCUUUAUAAAUACAUUUGAUUGAUGUCGUCAUACCAAUGCCUUACUAACGUCUGCUUGACGUCUGUGUGUUAAUGAAAGUCAUAAGUUGCAUAUUUUAUAUUAAUUAAAUCACAGACUUGUUUCCAGUAGCCUGCAUCAGACAACCAAUAAGAGUUGUGUCUGUGGCUUUCAGUCGAAUAGAGGAAUUCAUAGGCUUUCCCAGAGGGUCUGUGCUUUUUGGGAUCCUUGGGAUAUCCCUACCUCAAUCAAGUAGAAAUGUAAAAUGGUUAUGGUAAGGGUUACGUUUAGUGUUAGGUAAGGGUUAUAGUUUAGGGAUCAGGGUACGGACAUCCCAAGGAAUAAGAAUAACAGUGUUCGUUCAAAGAGUGAGAGACGGGCACAGUAUUUGAGAGCUCAGCGGCGACACAGACAUUUGUUUUUUUACAAGUUGCAAAUGCGAUUUUUGCGAGUGACUUCCCCAGAUAGUUUCUUUACUCGGAACCCAAACCAUCUGCGCGCGUGCGCCAUCGUGCACCAUCAUGCAUAAAUGUAUUUUGUCCCCCCCACACCAAACGCGAUCACGACACUCAGGUUAAAAUAUCAAAACAAACUCUGAACCAAUUAUAUUAAUUUGGGGACAGGUCGAAAAGCAUUAAACAUGUAUGGCAAUUUAGCUUGCUAGCUUGCACUUGCUAGCUAAUUUGUCCUAUUUAGCUUGCUUGCUGUUGCUAGCUUAUUUGUCUUGGGAUAUAAACAUUGAGUUGUUAUUUUGCCUGAAAUGCACAAGGUCCUCUACUCCGCUAAUUAAACCACACAUAAAAUGGUCAACCGAAUAAUUUCUAGUCAUCUCUCCUCCUUCCAGACUUUAUCUUCUCUUGACUUUAUAUUGCGAUCGGCAACUUUCAUAAAUUAGGUGUAUUACCGCCACCAACCUCACUCGUCUUUCAGUCACCCACGUGGGUAUAACCAAUGAGGAGAUGGUACGUGGGUACCUGCUUCUAUAAACCAAUGAGGAGAUGAUGGUAUGUGGGUAUCUGCUUCUAUAAACCAAUGAGGAGAUGGGAGAGGCAGGACUUGCAGCACGAUCUGCGUCAGAAAUAUAAACAUACUUCUAUUUUAGCCCUUGGCAACACAGACACCCGCGAGCAGUGUGGGUGCAAUAAUUGAAUAAUAUAGAUUUCUAUAUUUAUUUUGCAACGCUCAUGCACACGACGUGAACGGUGUAGUCAACCUGUUAAAGAAGAUGAAAAUAAUUACAGAGAUGUCCUUAAUUCUAUUGAGGAAUAAGUAAGCUAUAUUUAAGUUGUGAUAUUGUUAGGAAAUUAUUAACUGUGUUAAGGCAAAUUUGGUUUAUUUGAAAAUAAUUACAUUUUGUUGAUAAUGAGUUGAUAACGUAUUGUCCAAAACACAUAUAGAAAAUAUUAUUUCCUGUGUUGAUAGGGGAGUAGGCUAGUGUACAAUAAUAACGUAAUUUGAUGUGCUAGUAUUAUUUAUUUAAUGGAUUAAAUACAUUUUAAAUGAAAAUAUACAUGUUGUCACGUCCUGAUCACAGUAAGCUGGUUUUUCUCUGUGUUGGUUGGGGCGUGAUGGUGACUUGGGUGGGUCAUCUAGGUUAAUUUUGUAUUUCUAUGUUGGCCUGAUAUAGUUCCCAAUCAGAGACUGCUGUUUAUCGUUGUCUCUGAUUGGGGAUCAUAUUUAGGCAGCCAUUUCCCCUUUGUGUUUCGUGGGAUCUUGUCUAUGUUUAGUUGCCUGUCAGAACUAUUUGUAUAGCUUCACGUUUCGGUCGUUGAUUUUGUUGUUUUUGUUCAGGUUUCAUUUAUUAAAAGAGUAUGUACAUAUA
Oncorhynchus masou masou (cherry salmon) is the source of this 2871-nucleotide long non-coding RNA. RefSeq lists it as uncharacterized. The record is from RefSeq and is a predicted model, not a curated record. NCBI's taxonomy places the organism in Eukaryota, Metazoa, Chordata, Actinopteri, Salmoniformes, Salmonidae. The transcript is spliced from 2 exons.